This 812-nucleotide ribosomal RNA is filed under the name uncultured Actinomycetes bacterium. Its description in RNAcentral is "bacterial SSU rRNA". It matches the Rfam family "Bacterial small subunit ribosomal RNA", at positions 70 to 896 of the family's 1533-position model. The record is from RNAcentral. Lineage: Bacteria; Bacillati; Actinomycetota; Actinomycetes.
AAGGCCUGCAGCUUGCUGCGGGUACUCGAGUGGCGAACGGGUGAGUAACACGUGGGUGAUCUGCCUUGCACUUCGGGAUAAGCUUGGGAAACUGGGUCUAAUACCGGAUAGGACAGCUGUUUAGUGUCAGUUGUGGAAAGUUUUUUCGGUGCAAGAUGAGCUCGCGGCCUAUCAGCUUGUUGGUGGGGUAAUGGCCUACCAAGGCGUCGACGGGUAGCCGGCCUGAGAGGGUGUACGGCCACAUUGGGACUGAGAUACGGCCCAGACUCCUACGGGAGGCAGCAGUGGGGAAUAUUGCACAAUGGGCGGAAGCCUGAUGCAGCGACGCCGCGUGGGGGAUGAAGGCCUUCGGGUUGUAAACUCCUUUCGACAGGGACGAAGCGUAAGUGACGGUACCUGUAUAAGAAGCACCGGCUAACUACGUGCCAGCAGCCGCGGUAAUACGUAGGGUGCGAGCGUUGUCCGGAAUUACUGGGCGUAAAGAGCUCGUAGGUGGUUUGUCGCGUCGUCUGUGAAAUUCCGGGGCUUAACUCCGGGCGUGCAGGCGAUACGGGCUGACUUGAGUGCUGUAGGGGAGACUGGAAUUCCUGGUGUAGCGGUGAAAUGCGCAGAUAUCAGGAGGAACACCGAUGGCGAAGGCGGGUCUCUGGGCAGUAACUGACGCUGAGGAGCGAAAGCAUGGGUAGCGAACAGGAUUAGAUACCCUGGUAGUCCAUGCCGUAAACGGUGGGCGCUAGGUGUAGGGGGCUUCCACGUCUUCUGUGCCGUAGCUGACGCAUAAGCGCCCCGCCUGGGGAUACGCCGCAAGGCUA